RNAcentral lists this ribosomal RNA (865 nucleotides) under uncultured Methanosaeta sp. RNAcentral describes it as "bacterial SSU rRNA". It matches the Rfam family "Archaeal small subunit ribosomal RNA", at positions 1 to 873 of the family's 1478-position model. The record is from RNAcentral. RNAcentral also lists the same sequence under 1 other name. Lineage: Archaea; Methanobacteriati; Methanobacteriota; Methanomicrobia; Methanotrichales; Methanotrichaceae.
UUCUGGUUGAUCCUGCCAGAGGUCACUGCUAUCGGUGUCCGAUUAAGCCAUGCGAGUCGAGAGGUGUAAGACCUCGGCAGACUGCUCAGUAACACGUGGAUAACCUGCCCAAGGGUCCGGGAUAACCCCGGGAAACUGGGGAUAAUACCGGAUGGGUCACCAGUGCUGGAAUGCUUGGUGGUCGAAAGGUGACGCCUUUGGAUGGGUCUGCGGCGGAUUAGGUUGACGCCGGUGUAACGUACCGGCGUGCCUGUAAUCCGUACGGGUUGUGGGAGCAAGAGCCCGGAGAUGGAUUCUGAGACACGAAUCCAGGCCCUACGGGGCGCAGCAGGCGCGAAAACUCUACAAUGCAGGCAACUGCGAUAGGGGGACAUCGAGUGGCAUCCACCUUGGGUGUCUGUCCAACCGUCUAAAAAACGGUUGUUAGCAAGGGCCGGGCAAGACCGGUGCCAGCCGCCGCGGUAAUACCGGCGGCUCGAGUGGUGGCCGAUAUUAUUGAGUCUAAAGGGUCCGUAGCCGGCUUUGCAAGUCCCCUGGGAAAUCCGGCGGCUUAACCGUUGGGCUUUCAUGGGAUACUACAUUGCUUGGGACUGGGAGAGGUAGGAGGUACUCGGGGGGUAGGGGUGAAAUCCUGUAAUCCUCCGGGGACCACCGGUGGCGAAGGCGUCCUACCAGAACAGGUCCGACGGUGAGGGACGAAAGCUAGGGGCACGAACCGGAUUAGAUACCCGGGUAGUCCUAGCCGUAAACGAUGCCCGCUAGGUGUCACGACGGUCGUGAAUCGUCGUGGUGCCGUAGGGAAGCCGCGAAGCGGGCCACUUGGGAAGUACGGCCGCAAGGCUGAAACUUAAAGGAAUUGGCGGGA